GUGAAUAUAGCGCAUCUCUUCGGAGAGCGUGACCUCCACUUUCAACUCUGUGCAUUUUUUGGCGAAGGAACGAGACGAAGCGACGCAAGUUGCAGACUCUCGCCUCUUGCGGCUCAUUUUAAACACUAGUUAAAGUAUGUAACGAAAUAUCGAAACAAA
Molecule: unclassified non-coding RNA, 159 nt
Filed under: soil metagenome
Description: partial internal transcribed spacer 1
Source: RNAcentral